GAUGAACGCUGGCGGCGCGCCUAACACAUGCAAGUCGAACGAUUAAAGCACCUUCGGGUGUGUAUAAAGUGGCGAACGGCUGAGUAACACGUGGGCAACCUGCCCCUUUCAUUGGGAUAGCCACGGGAAACCGUGGAUAAUACCGAAUACUUCGAGACUUCCGCAUGGAAGACUCGAGAAAGCUCCGGCGGGGAGGGAUGGGCCCGCGGCCUGUUAGCUUGUUGGUGGGGUAACGGCCUACCAAGGCAAUGAUGGGUAGCUGGGUUGAGAGACCGACCAGCCAGAUUGGGACUGAGACACGGCCCAGACUCCUACGGGAGGCAGCAGUGGGGAAUCUUGCACAAUGGGCGAAAGCCUGAUGCAGCGACGCCGCGUGCGGGAUGAAGGCCUACGGGUUGUAAACCGCUUUCAGCAGGGACGAGGCGAAAGUGACGGUACCUGCAGAAGAAGCCCCGGCUAACUACGUG
RNAcentral lists this ribosomal RNA (467 nucleotides) under uncultured bacterium. RNAcentral describes it as "partial 16S ribosomal RNA". It matches the Rfam family "Bacterial small subunit ribosomal RNA", at positions 28 to 507 of the family's 1533-position model. The record is from RNAcentral.